AUAUUUAGCUUUUCUCAACAUAAUGCAGAAGAAUCAUCCAGUUCUUUCAUCUUUUGUUCCAACUAUGGAGAAACAUGGGUUGGACUUCAGAAUUCUUUUUUUUUUUUCCAAACUUUCAAGGACUGCUCUUCAACUUCAUCUUCUCAACUGGAAGUGCAAUUUUAGAUCAGUUUUUGUCUCAAUCUUUACCCUAAUCAGAUUUUUCAGUUUCAUAGCUAAUGUUUAAAAAUGGGCUCAAUUUAAUUUUCUCUUUCUCAUUCACCUUCUCCUCUCUGAUUUCUAUCACUGGACCAUUUUCUGCACACAAACUCUCACUAAACCAUAGAGAUAAUAGAUCUGAAGAAGAAGAAACUUGGGUGAAUCAAAGAUGUCGUGGCAAACAUAUGUUGAUGAUCACUUGCUUUGUGAGAUUGAAGGUAAUCAUCUCACUUCUGCUGCUAUUAUCGGUCAAGACGGCACCGUUUGGGCCCAAUCUGCUAAUUUCCCUCAGGUUGCUUGUGCAUGUUUGAAACUAGAUGCAUAGGUGCAACCUUUUGAGAAGUACCGAAAAUUUGAUUCAAAUAAAUUAUGUUUAUGGACAGGGUGACACUUGGCUAAAAUAAGAAGCUUAAAUGACUUGGCUGGCAAGUGACAACUAUAUGAAAAUGGCCAUUCACAGUGUAAGUCUCCAAUCUUUUUUUGUGUGAUGUUGAGCUUACGUUGUCUCAUGCUCUGUAGUUGAGGUUUCUCAUCAUGCAUGGUCGCGAAGAUAUUCUGUUUUGCUAACUCCGUUUUAUGUUUUGUCUCGGUGUCGAGAAAGGGUUACCAGUUUAGUGUUUCUAGAAUUACCUUUAUCUUAUUGCUCUUUGGCAAUGGUAUUUCAUUUGCUUACAUGUGUAAUCCUACAGUACCAUUACUACUAUUUUAACUUUUUUGUCAACAAGAAGAAUUAGAUAUAACUUAUAGUUUUUCAGAAUGAGUAGAUAUUUUUCCAUGUGAUAUCUUUUCUCAAUUAGUAGUUAACCUGUUAUGGAGCAUUGACUACAAAUUGUUGUUUAGAUGACUUUAUUUUAUUUUUUUACUCUCAAGUUGUUCAAGGGACGAGGGGAUAAAAUACAGUAAACAACCGUAUGAAUGGUGGAAUAAUAUGAAUGACAGCUAUCUCAUGUAACAAUUUCUUAAGAGCACGAUUCUGGUCGUGCUACAAUUACUAAUGUUAUUUGGUCAAGAAUUAUCAUUAGCAAAAAUAUUUCUUUCUAUUUCUUUGUCUAGACAAUCUAUUUGAACACUAAGGUAUACAUGAUUAAUUUCAUCGAUUAUUUCUUCUUUUUAUUUGAUAUUUAGGUCAGUAGAAAUGUGUAUAUGUACAAUCCUUCUAAUGUGUUUCUCAAUCUAAUGAUGAUUAAAUACAUUACUUUGAUAUCUGAUCUCCAUGCUAGCCUCUCCAUUUUCAUUGAAUAAAUGAAAUUUAAUUUUUCUGUUUUAAUCCUUACAAGAACACAAUGUCAAUGUGUUUUUUAUUUUAACUAUAUAGAAGCGUGGGUUAGGAGAAUGGAUCGACAUGGUGCCUUAUGUGUCAAUAAAAUUACAAUCAAGGGCAAUUUAGAGAUUCAAGGCAGGCUUAUUUAGGUUAGUUUACGUGUCAACAACCCUCUAGCUGUCACUUUCUUCUCACAGAACUCAUCUCUGUGCCGACUACCUCUCCGUUGUUCAAAAACCCGAACACCACACUCCUUUUCACCUCACACACUCCCAUCCCACCUUCCCACAAAGGUGUUCGAGGUAUUCAUAAAAUCCGGCAAAACGGAGAAGCCAGGUUUGUCUCAAAGGGUACCAAAGGAGAUUCCAACCAUUGAUAUUCCUCUCAGGGUAAGUUCACAAUUUUCCAUAUCCUUUAAACUUGGGUACAUCAUUCAUGUUCUUUGAUUAUCGUUUAUCUCGACUCUUUUAUGACAUUUUGAUCAAUGAAUUUUGUUCUGUUAGUUUGUUGGAGAGAUUGCACAAGCAAUGUGUUUUUUAUUUUAACUAUAUAGAAGCGUGGGUUAGGAGGAUGGAUCAACAUGGUACCUUAUGUGUCAAUAAAAUUACAAUCAAGGGCAAUUUAGAGAUUCAAGGCAGGCUUAUUUAGGUUAGUUUACGUGUCAACAACCCUCCAGCUGUCACUUUCUUCUCACAGAACUCAUCUUUGUGCCGAAUGCCUCUCCGAUGUUCAAAAACCCGAACACCACACUCUUUUUCACCUCACACACUCCCAUUCCACCUUUCCACAAAGGCGUUCGAGGUAUUCACAAAAUCCGGCAAAACGGAGAAGCCAGGUUUGUCUCAAAGGGUACCAGAGGAGAUUCCAACCAUUGAUAUUCCUCUCAGGUUUGUUGGAGAGAUUGCACAAGAUAUUACACAUGUUGGAUAGGAUAAAUAAAGCUUAUGUGGAUGAGAACCAUAAGCCAUGGUGGCCUCUGCUGCCUCACUCACUUUUGGAAGUUUUUGAACCAAAUUAAACAUCAAACUGCUAUCUUUUUGCAAAAUUGCACUGCCUGUUUUGAAAGCUGGAUUCCCGAAGAGCAAAGAAUAUAUGCAACGCACAAUACUUUAACAAGCCUCUCCAGGUAUUUUGUCAACCACGCAUCACACAGCUACAACGUUAACUGCGAAGAACAAGAUGACUGCCAGCGGCAUAGUCGGUGGUUGUGUUACUAUAUUGCCUUUUGCCACUACCGACUUCUAUCAAUAUAUAACUAAUGUGUGUAUGCAUAGACAUGCAAUCAUCAAUGUGUAUAUAAACAUUAUGCUUUAGUUGUGCAAUACCUUCUUCUGUCAAACUGUUAAUAAUGUGUAUGUUUAUAUAUAUAUAUAUAUAAACCGUUUAAACGA
Long non-coding RNA from Lycium barbarum (goji berry), 2850 nucleotides. RefSeq lists it as uncharacterized. NCBI's taxonomy places the organism in Eukaryota, Viridiplantae, Streptophyta, Magnoliopsida, Solanales, Solanaceae. The transcript has 5 exons. The record is from RefSeq and is a predicted model, not a curated record.